GCCCUUGGUGGCCCCUUGGGGGCAGGCUGGCUUUUAGGGUGAUUUUCAGGAUGACUCGUAGGAUAAUUUAUGGGGCAGUCCUUGUAACUGCAAGGCAGCAUUUCUGUCGGUCCCUCCCUUUGUGACUGUAUAGGAGGGACACCAGGGGCUGGCAGACCACGUCAGCACAGCCUGACAUCAGAGCCCUGUAGCAGGAGACAGGCUGUCACGGGGACGCUGAAUGUACAAGCUCUGUUCCCGGCCCCAGGGAGGUGUGAGGUUGGAGUCCACGGCACAGACUUCAGCUGCUGGAACUCAAGCCUGUGUAUGGUCAGGGUUCAAAAUUUGCCACCACGUGUUACAGGGUCAGGCUAGAGUCCUACUUAUGGCAUAGUUUGCAAUGAGAAGGAGCCUUAUGUGCUGAAGGAUAGGCCCCCACCUUGUGAUCCUUAAUUUUAAAGACCUCAGCAUCAGGGCAAUUUUCUUGAGUAACUUAUUUUAGAGUAGAAAUUAUCAGUUUCUCGAGGUCGGGAUUGAAGGCACUUGAGAUGGUAUUUCAUGUUCGGACUCAGCCUGCAAUGCAGACUUUUGUGUCCAAUCACAAAACAUCACCCAAACCCAUGAAGAAGAAGUAAGAAGAAGGUAAAGAAGAACAACCCGUCUCCACCCUAAAACCUCCAUCUUUCUUUGUAUUUAUUUCUAUAUUCUAAAACCCCAAACUCUAAGUUUCCCACCCUGUGAUAUUACACACUUCUAACCAACUACAUACCCAGUAAUCCCAGUACUAUCAAUCAAUUAAUCAAAUUUUAAAGUCUUCUCCACAGCCUCAGGUCAAAUGCAGUGUUCUCUUGUGGGUCUGUGCCUUUCAGCACAGAAAGUCUAAAAUUCUCAGCAUCCAGGAUUCCAACAGAAAUCUCCUGGUGAGAAGGACAUACAUGCUGACUCUGCAGAAGUUCUUUGCUGGGUAACUUAAGUAAAGGAGGGGCAAAAAGUCAUGGUACUGUAAGACCUCUUCUAAAAUGGUCCAGGGUUGCAAAUUUGAAUCAAGUCUUGCUGGCUAAGGAGGCUGUUUGACUUGUAAAUCAGUUUCUGUUUACAGCUGCUGAUGACAGAUCCCACACUAUUAAAGAUGAUGUCAUUUCA
Vidua macroura (Pin-tailed whydah) is the source of this 1122-nucleotide long non-coding RNA. RefSeq lists it as uncharacterized. NCBI's taxonomy places the organism in Eukaryota, Metazoa, Chordata, Aves, Passeriformes, Viduidae. The record is from RefSeq and is a predicted model, not a curated record. The transcript has 2 exons.